UCGACUCAGCUCGAUGAUUUGGAACAUUGGUUUGUGUGUGUGUAUGUAAUGGAUAGCAACGGAUGAGCCGAUCUUAUCCAAACGCUAUUAAUCUGUUUUUGAUUCUGAUGUUUAGUUUCUAAGAUAUGGAUUACAUACAUACUCUUACUUGAUUUGUAAAAUUAUUUCGUCGUUAAAUUUAUUUUGGCUUUCCCUUACCCGUUCACCCCAUUUGCUCGAGCAAGCUAUUGCGAAACAAUUGCUCACGUUAUCUCUGAUUAUUCAAAAUGGGGCACUAACACGCGCAACACAUGUACUGCCGCUAAAAGCAUAAUUGUCCCAUGUGUAUAGGGAUUCCCAUAGCACAUGGGACAGUUAUGCUUCUAGCGGCAGUGCAAGCGUAUUAUAGCGCACGCUAACAUGACCAUUCCAAUAAUAAAAUUCUUUUUUUGCUAGGUAAUUGACGAUACAGUCCGAUUACUUGACCCCGAUGUAGGCCGUGUAUCAGUCGGUAUUGCAUAAACUUCCCGUACCAGCAAAUAGUUUGAAGGAAUUCGACGAUCCGGUCAUUACGUCACGUUUAUCGUCGUGACGAAGCUCUACACACGCAGCGGAUGGGAAAAGGCGGAUAUCAUUUCGAAAAGCACGAUGGUGAACGGGGCUGGCAUUUUGUCCUCGACGGAGUUCGAUUUCCAUAUGUGCACCAGCAACCAUCGCAUUACUUCCAGUGCGACGGUAACCGCUUUGACUCGGACGAGAUCCAUUGUAGGCCCGGCAGGUCAUGUUGAAUUUGAUCCAGUGCAUUCUGCAACAAAAUUACGUUCCGUAGAAUGGAGAAAACAAAAAACAAAUCUAACAGAAAAUUUAACGGAAAUCAACAUUCAUCGCAAAUCAAACGUAGAUUGGAUCGAGUCAUUAUUGAUGCGUCGCAGCAUCAGCCGUACAAAUUCGACAAUUAUUUGAAUCUGUUCCCGCACGGCAAAUAUAUAUUAUGUCGCUGAUGAACCUGAAUUUGGUUGCACUGACGCUGUCGCCUUCUUCGACAUGCUGAAAGGCCUGCAAUAAGGUAGUAAACAGAAAUGCGUAGGAGUCAGCUCUAAACGAAUUAUUCAUUUGGCUGGAGUAAAUCCGACUCGAAGAUGAAGGUCCUAUCACGUUUUGCUUAUCUACCACGAAUAGUGCAAAUUUGUCUCGCACAUGGUGUUCAAGGCACUGUACAACCUGUGAAAUUUCCCGCAAUGGUCAAAUUGAGCCGAAGAAAAUAUUUCUCUAACUGACAUUGCAGUGCAGUUGUUACUGGACGGGAGUAACGCGUCUGUUGGACCUGAUUGGAUAACAAUCUGGUACGACCCCUGGUGAGUGACGACACAGAACAUCUGCAACAAUCCGAUGUAGGCCGUGUGCCAAUCGGCGACAAGCAGUUUUUCGGGUCGAAAUCUUGCCCGAACAACGUAUUACGUCACGUUAGCAUCUACAUACGCAGCCGGCGGGAAAAACGGAUUACAUUGGGAAACGCAGGAUGGUAAACGGUGCUGGUAUUACGCACUCAACGGAGUUCGCUUUCCAUAUUGGCACCAGACCAGCAACCGUAGCAUUGCUUCCAGUGCGACGAUAAUGAUGCUUUUUUAUAUUAUUUUUAUGCUCGGAAAGCGCAAUUGUUGAAUUUAAAUUGUAAAUAAAACAGAUUGAAUCAAUUGGUUUAAUUCUUUUUAAUGAAAAAUGAAUAAAAAAGAAAUCUGACGGAUCAAAAAGAAGAAGAAGAGUGCCAAAAUAGUGAGCACGACGGUGUCCGAUUCUCUAUAGCUUG
Topomyia yanbarensis is the source of this 1786-nucleotide long non-coding RNA. RefSeq lists it as uncharacterized. The transcript has 3 exons. Lineage: Eukaryota; Metazoa; Arthropoda; Insecta; Diptera; Culicidae. The record is from RefSeq and is a predicted model, not a curated record.